AUUGAACGCUGGCGGCAUGCUUUACACAUGCAAGUCGAACGGCAGCGCGGGCUUCGGCCUGGCGGCGAGGGGCGAACGGGUGAGUAAUGCAUCGGAACGUGCCCACUAGUGGGGGAUAGCCCGGCGAAAGCCGGAUUAAUACCGCAUACGACCUGAGGGUGAAAGCGGGGGACCGAAAGACCUCGCGCGAUUUGAGCGGCCGAUGGCGGGGUAUCUAGUUGGUGGGGUAAAGGCUUACCAAGGCGGCGAUCCGUAGCUGGUCUGAGGGGCCGGCCAGCCACCCUGGGGGGGAGGAAGCGCCGACGCUCCUACGGGGGGCGGCAGUGGGGAAGUUUGGGCAAUGGGGGGCACCCUGGUGCAGCCGCGGCGCGUGGGGGGAGAAGGCCGUCGGGUUGUAAAGCGCUUUUGUUCGGGGAGAAAUCCUCUGGGCUAAUACGCCGGGGGGAUGACGGUACCGGGAGAAGAAGCACCGGCUAACUACGUG
RNAcentral lists this ribosomal RNA (484 nucleotides) under uncultured bacterium. Its description in RNAcentral is "partial 16S ribosomal RNA". It matches the Rfam family "Bacterial small subunit ribosomal RNA", at positions 28 to 507 of the family's 1533-position model. The record is from RNAcentral.